Molecule: long non-coding RNA, 2525 nt
Organism: Manihot esculenta (cassava)
Lineage: Eukaryota; Viridiplantae; Streptophyta; Magnoliopsida; Malpighiales; Euphorbiaceae
Exons: 4
Source: RefSeq, a predicted model, not a curated record
UCACUCCUUCGCUUUCUCUCUUGGAUUUCUAUUGCUUCUCUCUCCUUAACUCUAAGCUUUGAUGUGAAACUGAAGAAGUCACUGUUUGUCAUCUGCUGCAUUUGAUUACCUUGCUCCCUUGUGUUAGCAUUUAAGGUGCAUUUAAUUUCUCUUUUUUUUUUUUGAAAUUUACUAUAGUGUUAUUUAUGCAGCUUUUUAGCAUGUUAUCCUAGACACAUAUAUAGCUGGUUUUCAGUCAAGAAUUAAACCAUCCAAAAACAAGUUAUGUCGAGGAUUAGCUUAAAGGCAACCAAAUAACUCCCUUGCUGCCCCAUUAGCACUUUAUAAAGACAAUUUGCUAACCAUAACUAUGAACACUGCAUAAAAAUCUGUUAACAAGUUAAUAUGUCUGUUCAACUUCAACAUGGAAACAAACAAUUCAUUUUCAUGUCUGGUUCUCAUACCCAAUAUAAUGUCAUUGGAAGUGCUUGCUAUUCCAGAAAAAAACAGUGUAUUAGCCACUCUAAUUGGUUUCAUAAGAGCUGUGCUCCAGCUCAAGAAAAUGUACUGCAAUCUAGUCAAAUUCAGUUUCUUUAACAAAUUAGGCAAAUGGUAAACCACAAGUAGGUUCCUACUGAUUUCUUUGACUAUUUACUGAAUAUUUGUAAGCACUAGCAAUUAUUAAGCAUUAGCAAUUAUUAAGCACUAAGCCCUAAUGAUAUCACUUAACAAGUAUGAUAUGAUGCAUGGCUUGUGAUCUUAUCUUUGCAAAAGGUGACAAUUAGGGUGUGGGUCCAGAUGGACCCACUUAAGAGCAUGCCUUGUUUCAUAGGUUUCCUGUUGUGAUUUCUUUUAGAUUUUUAUAAUCUGUAUGUUUGAUUGCUAUAGUGUUACUUUGGAUAAAUCUUGGCCAACGGUAAUGAUCACUGAUCAAACUAUGGUGAAAGAGAAGGGGGUUGUUUUUGCUAGAGAUUCCUUGUGGUUGCUUGUGGAAGUUUGCUUAGAAAGAAAGUGACUGGGUUAGGUUAUUGAAGAGAGAAGUGGAAAAAAAAUGAAAGUGAAGGCCCCACAUAACUGUCCAUAGGCCGAUAUCUUUCUCGCACAUUUACAUUAAUCAAAGUUCUUUUUUUUUUAAUUCUCUUUAUUUUUUAUAGUUAUAAUAAAUUUUAAAAAAACCGUCCUAACUAAUUUUUAAAAAAAUAAGGAUGAUAUAAGUUAAUAUAGUUAGUUGUGUGGAUGUUAUUUUAUUUGCUAUUUGUACAAAAGCAUUGAGUUUAGUUGAUUGGCAGUCACAAAGAAGCUUUCCCGAAAGCAAUUUUAACAUAAGAGGAAAUGUUUCAUAUACAUUUUGGGUGAAUUGACUGCACCAUUCCAUGUGUUUGUCUUGUAAAAGAGGCAACAUUUUGCUUGCACCUGUCCCUAUACAGUCCACUCAUAUGCAAAUACAUCAUACAUACACGUUGCUUACAAGUAAGUGCUAUCACAAAGACACUUGGAACAUCAUUAAAGCUACCUUGACAAAUCUGAGGUAUGAUUUCUGUUAAUGUUAGUGUUUUAUGUGAUUUUAAUAUUGAUAUUUUACUUGGAACAUCAUUAAGUGCUAUCACAAAGACACUUACAAGUAAGUACAUCCACAUUUUGAUUUAUAAUUUUCCUGCAUCACUUCUGAUAAAAAAAUUAGCCACGUACUGAUAUCAUGAAUGUUGCAUCAUCACUUUGAUUGCAAGGAACUGCUCAGGUUCUCUCAGUGCAGUUUGAUUUAGAUAAUAUUAUAGAUAUCUCUGUUAUUAAUAUUUGCUUGCUCGCUGGGUUUCACUUUCACUGUAUAUCUGUUUAAUUGAGAAAAUUUCCAUGUCCUUUCAGAUAUUCUCUGAUUUGAAAGCUCAAAUUUUAGCUGCACAGCCAGUGGAUCAACCUCAGCGGCUUUCACUUUGUUUCGACAAACUGAUGGCUGAUGUCACGCGAAGCUUGGAUGCAAAGAACAGGGACAGGUUUACUCAGAAUCUAACUGUUUUCAGGCAUGAAUUCCGUGUGAAAUAGCUCGAAUGUUGCAUAUUGCUACCUGUUUAGGGACUGCAUUUUACCUCCAGAUACUGUGUUCGAAGAAGCCCAAGUACCUUACAUUAAUUUGACCAGUAAGCUUGGACCAUGUUUGCUGUUGGAGAGGAGCUUCUUUUUGAUGCAGUAUCUAUAUUUGUUGCCAAAUCAUUAAGAAGCAGAAGGUAAAAGGUUUGCAAUGAAGUUGUGUACGACUUUUUCUUUUUGUACAGUUUUCCAUUUUUCUUUUCUCAGGUUCCUUUUUGAAAGGAUACUGGAAGUGUAAUACACAAUGAUGAGGGGAUUACCAAAGACUUGCAGAAGCUAGUGGUGGGUUUGAUAGUAGUCUAUGUUUAGGGUAUUUAUUCUUUCUGAAACAAAGAUGUAAAUCAUUCAUGGGGAUUAUGUUUUAAGGUGGUGAUGAGUAGAUUUAUUUGUACAUUAACCUCAAAUAAUUCUUUUGUAUUUGUUGAUAAUAGAAAGAAAAGGAAUGAUAUUUUAGUGUGCAA